GCCGGGCACAGUGGCAUGUGCCUAUAGUCCCAGCUACUUGGGAGGCUGAGGUGGGAGGAUCGCUUGAGUCCCGGAGUUCUGGGUUGUAGGGCACUAUGCCAUUGGGUGUCCACACUAAGUUUGGCACUAACAUGGUGACCUCCUGGGGAUGGGAGACCACCAGCUUGUCUAAGGAGGAGUGAGCCAGCCCAGGUCAGAAACGGAGCAGGUCAAAACUCCCGUGCUGAUCAGUAGUGGGAUCGCACCUGUAAAUAAAUACUGCACUCCAGCCUGGGCAACACAGCAAGACCCUGUCUCUU
Unclassified non-coding RNA from Callithrix jacchus (white-tufted-ear marmoset), 299 nucleotides. It matches the Rfam family "Metazoan signal recognition particle RNA". Rfam says of the family: The signal recognition particle (SRP) is a universally conserved ribonucleoprotein. Lineage: Eukaryota; Metazoa; Chordata; Mammalia; Primates; Cebidae. The record is from Ensembl.